This 449-nucleotide ribosomal RNA is filed under the name uncultured bacterium. RNAcentral describes it as "bacterial SSU rRNA". It matches the Rfam family "Bacterial small subunit ribosomal RNA", at positions 354 to 796 of the family's 1533-position model. The record is from RNAcentral.
GUGGGGAAUCUUGCGCAAUGGGCGAAAGCCUGACGCAGCAACGCCGCGUGUGUGAUGAAGGUCUUCGGAUUGUAAAGCACUUUCGACCGGGACGAAACCGGACUGGCCAAUAUCCAGUUCUCUGACGGUACCGGGAGAAGAAGCACCGGCUAACUCUGUGCCAGCAGCCGCGGUAAUACAGAGGGUGCAAGCGUUGUUCGGAAUUAUUGGGCGUAAAGCGCGUGUAGGCGGCCUUGCAAGUCGGGUGUGAAAGCCCUCAGCUCAACUGAGGAAGUGCGCCCGAAACUGCAGAGCUUGAGUACCGGAGAGGAUGGUGGAAUUCCCCAAGUAGAGGUGAAAUUUGUAGAUAUGGGGAGGAACACCGGUGGCGAAGGCGACCAUCUGGACGGAUACUGACGCUGAGACGCGAAAGCGUGGGGAGCAAACAGGAUUAGAUACCCGGGUAGUCC